UCGCGCAAACUUUGCAAUACACGAAAGUGUGACAGGGCUAUCCCGAGUGCCGUCCGCUGAGGAUGGCUUUUACCCAGUCUAGAACGCUGGGGGAAUAAGGAGAGGGCAAGUCUGGUGUCAGCCGCCGCGGUAAUACCAGCUCUCCGAGUGGUGUGGAUGUUUAUUGGGCCUAAAGCAUCCGUAGCUGGCCAGGCCAGUCCCCUGUUAAACCCACCGAAUUAAUCGUUGGAUCGCGGGGGAUACUGCCCGGCUAGGGGACGAGAGAGGCAGACGGUAUUUUCGGGGUAGGGGUGAAAUCCUAUAAUCCCGAGAAGACCACCAGUGGCGAAGGCUGUCUGCUAGAACGCGCCCGACGGUGAGGGAUGAAAGCUGGGGGAGCGAACCGGAUUAGAUACCCGGGUAGUCCCAGCUGUAAACGAUGCAGGCUAGGUGUUUGGACGGCCACGUGCCGUUCUAGUGCCGCAGGGAAGCUGUUAAGCCUGCCGCCUGGGGAGUACGGUCGCAAGAUUGAAACUUAAAGGAAUUGGCGGGGG
RNAcentral lists this ribosomal RNA (533 nucleotides) under uncultured archaeon. Its description in RNAcentral is "bacterial SSU rRNA". It matches the Rfam family "Archaeal small subunit ribosomal RNA", at positions 339 to 874 of the family's 1478-position model. The record is from RNAcentral.